AAAAUCUUGUCCACCGAAUUUUUCAUUAGAUAAAAAUGACCAUGAUAAACAUGACAGAAAAGAUGAUAAAGACGAGGAUAAUAAUAAUAGUGAUUUAAAUGUGAAAGAAGAAGAUACUAAGAAA
Molecule: non-coding RNA, 124 nt
Filed under: Pteridomonas danica
Lineage: Eukaryota; Dictyochophyceae; Pedinellales
Source: RNAcentral